CCAGACAGCCAGGAUGUUGGCUUAGAAGCAGCCAUCAUUUAAAGAAAGCGUAAUAGCUCACUGGUCGAGUCGGCCUGCGCGGAAGAUGUAACGGGGCUAAACCAUGCACCGAAGCUGCGGCAGCGACACUAUGUGUUGUUGGGUAGGGGAGCGUUCUGUAAGCCGUUGAAGGUGUGCUGUGAGGCAUGCUGGAGGUAUCAGAAGUGCGAAUGCUGACAUAAGUAACGAUAAAGCGGGUGAAAAGCCCGCUCGCCGGAAGAC
Molecule: ribosomal RNA, 261 nt
Filed under: Escherichia marmotae
Lineage: Bacteria; Pseudomonadati; Pseudomonadota; Gammaproteobacteria; Enterobacterales; Enterobacteriaceae
Description: partial 23S ribosomal RNA
Rfam family: Bacterial large subunit ribosomal RNA
Source: RNAcentral